CGCAAAUUAACAAAAUAGAGGCGGUUAUGCUAGUGGUCUGGGCUUCUGCUACAAAAGGCACCAACACCAAUUCCCGCAAUCAAAUCAUGAAGAGAGCUAGCGGCCCUAAGUGCCCCCGUGGCCGUCACUCACUCACUCUAACCCUAGGUUCUCUUCGACCACCAACGCAAAACCAACAUCGAUCAUCACCCUCGGCGUCUCCAUCAGAACCCCAGAACCACCACUUUCAUCAUCAUCUUCUUCUUCCCUUCUUUCUUUUUCUUCUUCUUCCACCUUCGCCGAACAACCACCGCGAAAACCCUUUCUCUCUUUCUCUUCCCCAGUCUCUUGCCUUCUCUGUCUCGCCGCCGGGGGCUACCAUCCUGUACCGUCGCGACCAUCUUCUUCCCCUCCUUACAACCUCACAUUGUGGCUCUCUAGAUGGCCCUUGCCUCCCUCAUUCCCAGUCACAGAAUCAGAACAGAGCCACUCUAGUUCCAGUGAGUUCAAACGCAGCAGCGACUGGUCACUGCCACUACAUCCCUCUCUCCUUUGUUCUUGCUCUGUUCUUUGACUCAGGAGCCAGAUGCCACCCUUAGGAACAGAGGAUUAGGCCGCCUUGCUUCUUGCUUUGUGAACUCCUUGGCAACAUUGAAUUACCAUGCAUGGGGUUUUGGUCUAAGAUACAAGUAUGGUUUGUUCAAACGACUUAUAAGGAAGGAUGGUCAAGAGGAAGUUGCUGAAAGCUGGCUCGAAGUAUUUACAUAUAUGCAUCAAUUUGCAGAUCGCGGGCACUAUUCUGUGGAAACUGUUACAAUUCUGGUGGCCUUGAAAGUUCGCUACAGGGAUAGAAUUACACUUACCUGGGGAAAUCAUGAGAGCCAUCAAAUUACUUAAGUACUUUUCUCUUCAAUGACUAUAGGGACAAUCAGGUCACUCUUUGAGGCAAAUUUUUUCCUCACCGAAUAUGAUUUAAGAUCAGUCACAUUAUGUUUGUAAAUUCAGCCAUCCAGAUUUUGCUUUUAUAAAGCAGAAAAACCAAUGUAUACAUCAAGGAGAAACUUACCGCCAUCGAAUAUUGACAAUAGCAAGAUUGUUUACUCAAUAGUAUCGCAUAGAUGAAUUCCGUGGAAGGACAGAGACAAAAUAGAAUCCUAGGAUUGGACUUAUUUUGAUUUGAAGCAAACAUUUUUUUGAAUAUCAUUAUGCAAUUCUUAGCAAGAGAUUUAUUAUGUUGAUAUUUUUAUCAAGAUAUUAUUUUGUUUUCCAGUUAAUUUUGUUAUUUUUGCCA
Non-coding RNA from Arachis ipaensis, 1270 nucleotides. Lineage: Eukaryota; Viridiplantae; Streptophyta; Magnoliopsida; Fabales; Fabaceae. The record is from RefSeq and is a predicted model, not a curated record.